CGUACCCGAAUCCGUGCUUGGCGAAGUAGGGGAGGUUGGAGAGGGAGGUCUCGUCGAUGUCGAACACCCAGAUCUCCUUGCCGUUGCCGGCGAGCUUGAGGCUGUCCACGUAGGCGAUGGCCUCGUCGACGACGACGGUGAGUCGCGGCGGUAGUGGCCGCCGAGCAUGUAGUGGCCGACGUAGCCCUCGCAGCUGGCCGGCACCGUCUUCCACCGGAUCACGUUGUGCGCCUCCACCGCCAGCCUCCAGCUGUCGCACGCCACGCCGGCGCGCGCCGCCAGCUGGCCGCCGGAGCCCAGCAGCGGCCGCAGCGCGUGGAUGAGCGGCGCCACCACGGC
This 339-nucleotide small RNA is filed under the name Oryza sativa Japonica Group (Japanese rice). Its description in RNAcentral is "sRNA Os05g0191800". The record is from RNAcentral. Lineage: Eukaryota; Viridiplantae; Streptophyta; Magnoliopsida; Poales; Poaceae.